This 391-nucleotide ribosomal RNA is filed under the name uncultured bacterium. RNAcentral describes it as "bacterial SSU rRNA". It matches the Rfam family "Bacterial small subunit ribosomal RNA", at positions 28 to 410 of the family's 1533-position model. The record is from RNAcentral.
GAUGAACGCUGGCGGCGUGUCUAAGGCAUGCAAGUCGAACGGACUGUUAUUUGUAGCAAUACUUAGAACAGUUAGUGGCAAACGGGUGCGUAACGCAUUGGUAACCUGCCUCAAAGUCGGGCAUAAUCCCGCGAAAGUGGGACUAAUUCCACGAUGGUCAUCGAAGGUGAGAUUCCUUCGAUGUAAAGUCGCAAGACGCUUUGAGAGGGGCCUAUGGCCUAUCAGCUUGUUGGUGAGGUAACGGCUCACCAAGGCUAUGACGGGUAGGGGGUGUGAGAGCACGACCCCCCUCACUGGGACUGAGACACUGCCCAGACACCUACGGGUGGCUGCAGUCGAGAAUAUUCCCCAAUGGCCGAAAGGCUGAGGGAGCGACGCCGCGUGCAGGAAU